Megalopta genalis is the source of this 2021-nucleotide non-coding RNA. Lineage: Eukaryota; Metazoa; Arthropoda; Insecta; Hymenoptera; Halictidae. The record is from RefSeq and is a predicted model, not a curated record.
CAGUAUUUGGAAAGUAGCACCGAGAAAAAUAGGCUUUUACAUUGUUUCGGCGCUGCUGCUUCGCAGAGACGAAUAUAUUAUGUAAUUGGGUUGUCCGGAAAGUUCAUGCCGAUUUUCGGAAGGUGGCGUUGGGGUAGCUGCGAACAUAUCGGAAUCGUUAAAACCAAACGACCUGUGUACACUUUCGGACAAGUGACAUUUCAACCAGGUUCACGGCGAUGUUUGGUUAGGAUAAAUUGAUUUGCGUCAGUUUUGAAGUCUGUUGACGGUGGGAGAAGAUAAAGUACGUUUCAGACAUUUAAUUGUUAUCUUACGGAGAAGAUGUUUUAGCCGAAAAAACUGUGCGCAAGCGGUGACGAUAUUGGAUGAAGACAUUGAUCGAAAGUAAAACCCGCGCAAUGGAGAAAGCGGUGCCUUAGUGUCGCAAGUGUAAAGGGUUAAUAUUUCCGACGUAUCAUGGACACGCGAAGCGAUUCGGUGUUCGCGCAAAGGUCAAGACUCUGGACAAUAGCGAGCAGUUGGCGAACGAAAGGAACGAAAGUUGGUCAAUGCGUGGUCCAUUGAGCCGCGUGUCGACAAAGUUGUCGCUGUGUCUCUCGAGAACAAUGGCGGAGUCAUCGAGCACCUGUAAAUAUUUGCAACCGUGACCAUUCAUUCGAUCCAGUUCAAGGUAUAUCCGUGAACACAGGAGAACGAAGCCCGCGAGUGUGUAAGGUUUCAAUGAAAUAAGCGGUCCCAAGGUCUUGCACUCUCCACGUUACACGAUUAUUAGUACAGAUUACAUCUGUAGUAAGCGUACUAUGGGACUCAACGUAAUCGGUUCCCGCAAGGUGUUGAUCGAGCAAGCGCGAUCGCGUGACUUGCCCUACGAUCCCGUGAUUGAUCCUGCGAUCACGCAACUCGCCCGUUAACGAGUUCGAACGAUUUGAAAAAAUAGUUUGUUCGUUCGCGCAAUGUCGCAGAGCGUGUCACGUGUCGUUCGACGCGUAUAAACGGCUCGAUUGCGCGCGAUCUUAAACAAGCAAAAGCGGAUUAACGACGUGCGAAGAAACUUUGUCGGGAACCCGGCAAUUUCGAGCGAAACGAACGGACAUUUUCGUGUCUCGGACCGUUUAACAACCGAUCGGCUUUCCGUACAGCGAUGUAAUUAUCCCCGGGGGAUAAAGAACAGACCGGAGCGGGCCCAAAGCGUAGCGGAGCGGCGUCGAGAAGAAACAUUUUCCCGGGCGACAACGUUUCUGCUUGGUUAUUUUCUCUGCCCCGCAUUCUCGGCAUCGCCGCGCGGGCAUUACAAGUGUCUGGUCGCGGGUUUUUGCCACCGUACGCCGAAGUGAACGGACUAAAUGAAGUAAAUGGAUGAACGGUGAAUAAUGGAUGAAGCGGAGUUAGCGGCGCGCGUACAGGCGAUGCCCGCUUCUUGCUCGGCCCCGUCGACGUUAACUCGGCUUAUUAUCGACUAGUUAUCAGGAAGGACAACGUUCGUCAGUGUACUCGGGAUUCCGUGGCUAAUUGUUAACUAGACCGGGGGUGAUCAUGCAAAUGCCGGCGGUGAUGCGUAACUUAACACCUCGAGUACCGCGUCGGUCACGUUGUAGUCUUGACUAGCUUUUUUUUUCAAAAUUAGUUUGCGAUAUAUUCAAACAAAAUUGAAUUUUACCAGGAUGCUUGGAAUGCGAAAGACGUCAAAUAUCGUACGUUGUGAUAAAUUUUGCCUCUCCGGUUUCAGUUUUAUCAGUUAAAUUACUUCGAUUUUGCGGCGAAUAUUUAGAGUUGAUUUUUCACGAAUAUUCUCGAUGUUUCAACUGUUCUAAUCUCGCGAGAUCGUUGUUGUACAAUGAUAAAUCUGCGCUCACUUUAAAGUCCGAAGCUUCCUCUUUUGCUACAAAUGUUUCGUGGAACGCGUUCUCGCACGAUAUACCCAAGCGGAAAACUGGAGACACUGGUCUCCAAGAUCGAUAGAAAUUUUGCUCGCGAACGAAUCGAUCAUGGAUUCCAAGAUUAAAGUGUUCUCUUUGCAACGA